Molecule: ribosomal RNA, 467 nt
Filed under: uncultured bacterium
Lineage: Bacteria
Description: bacterial SSU rRNA
Rfam family: Bacterial small subunit ribosomal RNA
Source: RNAcentral
GACGAACGCUGGCGGUGCGCCUAACACAUGCAAGUCGAACGGUGAAGCGGGCUUCGGCCCGUGGAUCAGUGGCGAACGGGUGCGUAACACGUGGGCAACCUGCCCCUCACUCUGGGAUAACUCCGGGAAACCGGGGCUAAUACCGGAUACUCCGGCCGAACCGCAUGGUUCAGCCGGGAAAGGUCCGCCGGUGAGGGAUGGGCCCGCGGCCUAUCAGCUUGUUGGUGGGGUAACGGCCUACCAAGGCGACGACGGGUAGCUGGUCUGAGAGGACGACCAGCCACACUGGGACUGAGAUACGGCCCAGACUCCUACGGGAGGCAGCAGUGGGGAAUCUUGCGCAAUGGGCGAAAGCCUGACGCAGCGACACCGCGUGAGGGACGAAGGCCCUCGGGUUGUAAACCUCUUUCGGCAGGGACGAAGCGAUCGUGACGGUACCUGCAGAAGAAGCUCCGGCUAACUACGUG